GGUUAACGCUGGCGGCGUGCCUAACACAUGCAAGUCGAACGGUUCUAAGCGCGAGCUUAGGAUAGUGGCGAACGGGUGAGUAAAAGGUAGGAAUCUACCCCUUGGACGGAGAUAGCUACUGGAAACGGUAGGUAAACUUCGAUAAGCCCGAGAGGGGAAAGUGGUGAGACAGCCGAGGGAUGAGCCUACUCUCCAUCAGGUAGUUGGUGAGAUAAAAGCUUACCAAGCCGAUGACGGAUAACCGGUGUGAGAGCAUGAACGGUCACAAGGGCACUGAGAGACGGGCCCUACUCCUACGGGAGGCAGCAGUGGGGAAUCUUGGACAAUGGGCGAAAGCCUGAUCCAGCGACGCCGCGUGGAGGAAGAAGUCCUUCGGGAUGUAAACUUCUGAACUAGCCGAAUAAAAGGCCUGUGGACACACAGGAGAAGAAAGUAGGUAGGAAAAGUCCGGACUAACUACGUGCCAGCAGCGCGGUAAAAACUCUAU
RNAcentral lists this ribosomal RNA (487 nucleotides) under uncultured bacterium. Its description in RNAcentral is "bacterial SSU rRNA". It matches the Rfam family "Bacterial small subunit ribosomal RNA", at positions 28 to 530 of the family's 1533-position model. The record is from RNAcentral.